UUAUACAGGGAAUAGCCCAGAGAAAUUUGGAUUAAUGCCCAUAGUGUUAUCGAAUCGCAUGGUUUGAUUAUUAAAGUUCCAACGGCAAAAGAUGAGCAUGCGUCCCAUUAGCUAGUUGGUAAGGUAACGGCUUACCAAGGCUACGAUUGGGUAGGGGUUCUGAGAGGGAGAUCCCCCACACUGGUACUGAGACACGGACCAGACUCCUACGGGAGGCAGCAGUGAGGAAUAUUGGACAAUGGGCGCAAGCCUGAUCCAGCCAUGCCGCGUGCAGGAUGACGGUCCUAUGGAUUGUAAACUGCUUUUAUACAGGAAGAAACACUCCGACGUGUCGGAGCUUGACGGUACUGUAAGAAUAAGGAUCGGCUAACUUCGUG
RNAcentral lists this ribosomal RNA (377 nucleotides) under uncultured bacterium. Its description in RNAcentral is "bacterial SSU rRNA". It matches the Rfam family "Bacterial small subunit ribosomal RNA", at positions 131 to 507 of the family's 1533-position model. The record is from RNAcentral.